UACCACUAGGCUUGUGGUGUCUCUGAUGCCUCUUUGCUUUGCUUUCUCUUAAACUGUUGGCGAGUGAAAGAAGAAAUUAAACUAUGAUAAUUUGGCAUCCUGACUUUUGCGAGACUGUUCUUCCACUCCAUUCGUGAUUUCUGAUCUCCUCUGGGGUUCCUUUUAGCCCUGGCUCGGGGAGGGAGGAGCAGGUGCAGAAACGGCUGAAACCCCCGAACGCUGCCUGGAAAGAGGGAAAAGUAACCCCUCAUCUUUGUGACUAGUCGACUUGUUGGCCUCGACUACAGUUUUGAAGUAUUUAAGGACCAUUUGUUUCCAAAGUACCUUAUAUUCAGCAAAUCGAUGUUGAGUUCCUCCCUGGUACUAAACAUUGUAUGCCAUGAACAAAAAGGAAAGAGGAAGUUCCCAGAGUCCAUGAACUAAAAAAUCUGGUGCAGAUGAAGAUAUGAGAACUCGUAACUGUAAUGCAGUAAAAUUACUGCUGUAAUGGACCCUGGCCAAGGAGAGCCAGAAACACUGCUGAACUUGAUAUAGUACAUUAAAAUAUGAUUAUUUGAUCUUCCCAAACCAAAAUGAGGAAAGAAUCAGUGACGUGCACAAUAUAAUUGUUAAAGCAUGACUGUAAAGAUUUUAAAUAGUAGCCAGAGAAAUCCUCUGGAAACGUAAAUCCUAAAAUUUAAAAAGUUUCGACUCUUUUUAGUCUAAAAUUUUACUAUAUGCAGAGUCAAAGUCAAAGACCAUGCAGUCGCCCAAGCCCCUCCAUCGUGUGUCUCCUACCACCCCUGGCUCUCCCACCUUUCCUAAGUCGUAACCUCUUGCCCACUUUGCUCCAGCAGAGAACCUCCUUGCCUUUUGGAGAACCAUCACGUGGCCCUGGCACUUGCCAUUCUUCUCUGCUGAAAACAGAAAACAGCAGCCCCCAACCAGAAUCCAGUCCAGAUACACACGUGCCCCCUUCCCCUCAUGUCUCUCAGGUCUCUGAUCAGAGGUCACCUUAUCGAUGAGUCAGGUCUUGAUAACCAUACUUACAUUGCCUCCCUAUCUCCUUUUCCUGCAUUAUUUUUCUCCUCCGCCCUUACCACAGAUGGUACUCUAAGUAACCCAUUGGUCCAUCUUGUUCCACGUCCAUUUGUUUCUACCAGAACGUAAACUCCAUAAGGACAGGGAUUUUUGUCUAACAUUUUUAUUGAUGCAUUCCCAGCACCUAGACCCUCGCGUGCCUUAUUUAUUGAACAAAUGAUGGACUAAAUAUAAAUUUCCUGGCACCAAAGAUACGGUGUUCUACUUUGGUGGUGGUGUUGUUUUUCGAUUUUUUAAAAUAAAGUAGAAAUUUUCAAAUUUA
Panthera uncia (snow leopard) is the source of this 1342-nucleotide long non-coding RNA. RefSeq lists it as uncharacterized. NCBI's taxonomy places the organism in Eukaryota, Metazoa, Chordata, Mammalia, Carnivora, Felidae. The transcript has 2 exons. The record is from RefSeq and is a predicted model, not a curated record.